GUGAGGAAUUUUGGGCAAUGGGCGCAAGCCUGACCCAGCGACGCCGCGUGGGUGAUGAAGGCCUUCGGGUCGUAAAACCCUGUGAGUUGGGAAGAAGCGAAGGAGUGCCAAUACCACUCUUAGUGACUGUACCAGCAGAGGAAGCCCCGGCCAACUACGUGCCAGCAGCCGCGGUAAUACGUAGGGGGCAAGCGUUGUUCGGAAUUACUGGGCGUAAAGCGCGUGUAGGCGGUCCGAUAAGUCGGAAGUGAAAGCCCUCGGCUCAACCGGGGAACUGCUUUCGAUACUGUCAGACUUGAGUGCGGGAGGGGAGAGCAGAAUUCCCGGUGUAGCGGUGAAAUGCGUAGAUAUCGGGAGGAAUACCGGUGGCGAAGGCGGCUCUCUGGACCGUAACUGACGCUGAGACGCGAAAGCGUGGGUAGCAAACAGGAUUAGAAACCCGAGUAGUCC
Molecule: ribosomal RNA, 450 nt
Filed under: uncultured bacterium
Lineage: Bacteria
Description: bacterial SSU rRNA
Rfam family: Bacterial small subunit ribosomal RNA
Source: RNAcentral